RNAcentral lists this long non-coding RNA (1006 nucleotides) under Struthio camelus australis. Its description in RNAcentral is "lncRNA (ENSSCUG00000014791.1)". The record is from RNAcentral. Lineage: Eukaryota; Metazoa; Chordata; Aves; Struthioniformes; Struthionidae.
AGGAUUGACAGACAUGGUAAUGUAGAUGCUACCAAAAUCAACCACUGGGGGAGCAAACCUAAAAGUUGAAUGGGAAAUGAGAGGGUCUCAGGCUACACCUGAUCUGCAGCUAGCUGCCUCCUGCAGAGCCUGCAGGGAGCCAAAGCCCUUGCUCUUCCUCUCUUCUUCCUCCUUCCUUCUGUCCUCGAUGUCGCUCUGCUGUCCAAACUCAACUCCUCUCCAUACUGUGCCACUGAGCCACAGUGUGCCCUUCUGCACCAACAGGCAAAGAGGAGAAGGGGGCUGUAUGAGUGGGCUGGGGUUACCUGAGAGACUCCACAUUGGGGAGACUGGGAGGAUGCUGGGCACGGUGGGAGGAGGACAGAGCUGUCCCAUCUUGUGGGAUGGAGCUGUACAGUCUGUCUGUGCUGGGCAGCCUGGCUGUGCAGCAAGGGACUGGUAUGUAACGAUGCUGGGGUUGGAAGCAGGGGCAAUGUUGUGUGGUGGGGAGAGCUGCUGUGUUGUGGCAGGCCCAUACCGCAUGUGGGAAAGCAGCCUGCCUCAGCAGCAAGAUGGACCGUGUGUGCCACGCCACAGUGACCAGCCCUUGGGUGCUGCACACCGUGGGACUGCUACUCAUGGGGAGUCCCAGGCAGCACACAGGGCUGGCCAUGGACCCGCACAAGGUGUUGAGAGGAUAUGGAGAGCUCUGAAGCAUGGCAGAGGAUUCACGGGAGGUUUGUGGCUGAGGUGGAGAGCUGUGGAGAUGGUUCUCAGCUGUCAGUGUUGUGUGGGUGAUAGGUGUGAUGCUGAAAAAGGGCCGGGAAUUCCUCAGCACGUAAGAGCUCUUUCAAGCCUCUCCGGCAAAAAGGUCUCCCUUGACCUACAGCCAGCAGUGGGAAGCAUCACUAAAGGAGGAGGCAUCAAAUAAAGAAGGAAGAAGCAUCCAGAAGUCUCUUGACAAUGGUGGUGAGGUGACUUUGACUUGUAGACAAAACAGCUUUUGGAGCAACAGCUGCAAAAUGUC